GACGAACGCUGGCGGCGUGCUUAACACAUGCAAGUCGAACGGAAAGGCCCUUCGGGGUACUCGAGUGGCGAACGGGUGAGUAACACGUGGGUGAUCUGCCCUGCACUUUGGGAUAAGCCUGGGAAACUGGGUCUAAUACCGAAUAGGACCACGCGCUUCAUGGUGUGUGGUGGAAAGCUUUUGCGGUGUGGGAUGGGCCCGCGGCCUAUCAGCUUGUUGGUGGGGUAAUGGCCUACCAAGGCGACGACGGGUAGCCGGCCUGAGAGGGUGACCGGCCACACUGGGACUGAGAUACGGCCCAGACUCCUACGGGAGGCAGCAGUGGGGAAUAUUGCACAAUGGGCGCAAGCCUGGUGCAGCGACGCCGCGUGAGGGAUGACGGCCUUCGGGUUGUAAACCUCUUUCACCAGGGACGAAGCGUAAGUGACGGGACCUGGAGAAGAAGCACCGGCCAACUACGU
Molecule: ribosomal RNA, 461 nt
Filed under: uncultured bacterium
Lineage: Bacteria
Description: partial 16S ribosomal RNA
Rfam family: Bacterial small subunit ribosomal RNA
Source: RNAcentral